This 460-nucleotide ribosomal RNA is filed under the name uncultured bacterium. RNAcentral describes it as "partial 16S ribosomal RNA". It matches the Rfam family "Bacterial small subunit ribosomal RNA", at positions 338 to 795 of the family's 1533-position model. The record is from RNAcentral.
CCUACGGGAGACAGCAGUGAGGAAUAUUGGUCAAUGGGCGAGAGCCUGAACCAGCCAAGUCGCGUGAAGGAUGACGGCCCUACGGGCUGUAAACUUCUUUUGUAAGGGAGCAAUUGAGUCCACGUGUGGGCUUACCGAGAGUCCCUGAAGAAAAAGCAUCGGCUAACUCCGUGCCAGCAGCCGCGGUAAUACGGAGGAUGCGAGCGUUCUCCGGAUUUAUUGGGUGUAAAGGGUGCGUAGGCGGAAUAUCAAGUCAGCGGUAAAAAUUCGGGGCUCAACCCCGUCGUGCCGUUGAAACUGGUGUUCUGGAGUGGGCGAGAGGUAUGCGGAAUGCGUGGUGUAGCGGUGAAAUGCAUAGAUAUCACGCAGAACUCCGAUUGCGAAGGCAGCAUACCGGCGCCCAACUGACGCUGAAGCACGAAAGCGUGGGUAUCGAACAGGAUUAGAUACCCGAGUAGUC